This 465-nucleotide ribosomal RNA is filed under the name uncultured Klebsiella sp. RNAcentral describes it as "bacterial SSU rRNA". It matches the Rfam family "Bacterial small subunit ribosomal RNA", at positions 338 to 795 of the family's 1533-position model. The record is from RNAcentral. Lineage: Bacteria; Pseudomonadati; Pseudomonadota; Gammaproteobacteria; Enterobacterales; Enterobacteriaceae.
CCUACGGGUGGCUGCAGUGGGGAAUAUUGCACAAUGGGCGCAAGCCUGAUGCAGCCAUGCCGCGUGUGUGAAGAAGGCCUUCGGGUUGUAAAGCACUUUCAGCGGGGAGGAAGGCGUUAAGGUUAAUAACCUUGCCGAUUGACGUUACCCGCAGAAGAAGCACCGGCUAACUCCGUGCCAGCAGCCGCGGUAAUACGGAGGGUGCAAGCGUUAAUCGGAAUUACUGGGCGUAAAGCGCACGCAGGCGGUCUGUCAAGUCGGAUGUGAAAUCCCCGGGCUCAACCUGGGAACUGCAUUCGAAACUGGCAGGCUAGAGUCUUGUAGAGGGGGGUAGAAUUCCAGGUGUAGCGGUGAAAUGCGUAGAGAUCUGGAGGAAUACCGGUGGCGAAGGCGGCCCCCUGGACAAAGACUGACGCUCAGGUGCGAAAGCGUGGGGAGCAGACAGGAUUAGAUACCCGUGUAGUC